GGGGGUUGGAGGAGAGACAAGUAGAGUCUCCCUGGGCCCCCGCCUCUCGACGGGUUCCAAACAGGGAAAGCCAGGAGAGAAGUUCCAAGAGGGUACCCCAGGAAGCGCCCUUGCCAUGGCCGUGGGCUCCUGCCACCCGCCUCCUCCAGGCAGCGCGACUUUCUGAGCUGCUCCUCGGUGUCUAUCGAGCCCAGCCACCUUCCUGACAGAGAGCCGUCGGGGUCGCUUGCCACUGGGGUGCGCCGCCGGCGCCCUACUGCACGUGAGGGGACUGUCCCAUAUGACCUCCUGGUCGGCCUGAGCAACUCGCCCCACCCGCCCUACAAUCCGCCCUUGGACAUAGAGUCUAAGCGACGGGCAAGGUCCAUUACUUCCUCACCUGCUUGCAAAACACAGGGUAACAACCGUACCCCCACCCCACCCCCCGCAAGGGGUUCUGCUGCUCUCCUGCCUCGAGUUCUCUCCUGCCUCGUCCGUCACACAAUUCCUCAAA
This 493-nucleotide long non-coding RNA is filed under the name Ictidomys tridecemlineatus (thirteen-lined ground squirrel). Its description in RNAcentral is "lncRNA (ENSSTOG00000032953.1)". The record is from RNAcentral. Lineage: Eukaryota; Metazoa; Chordata; Mammalia; Rodentia; Sciuridae.